UUGCUAUGUUACCCAGAGUACUGGAGUGCAGUGGCAUGAUCCUCAACUCCCCAGGCCAAGUGAUUCUACUACUUCAGCCUUGGGAGUGGCUGGAACCACAGGCGUGCACCACCAUGCCCAGGACACAAUUGGAGAAACUGGUUAUUUCACCAAGGCUUUGACUGGAAUGGUGUGCCUUCCUUCAAGGAAUCAAACUGGACUUAUGAAGCCAAUAAAGCCCUUGGGAAACUGGCCUCGUAUUUUGUGUACACAGUCCCUGUACAGGGUUUCUGAUCUGUGGGAUCCCGUUUCUUUUUGGGGGAUUACAGUAAGUAUAACACAGAAGGAUCAAAUGCUUCCCUCUGCCACGGCGUAUGGAGACAAAGGGCAGUGCAAGAUGCAACAGGCUUUGUCUGCUCCUGGUAGGCCUGCCUUUCACACAACUGCUCCAAAUAGUGAAGACAAUAUAAUAAGUAAGAGCCAGGAAAAGUCCUGUCUUGGCUGUCCAUCAGAUAACAAUGGAAUAGGUGUGGAAGGCUGCUGCUGGCCCUCACCAUCGUCUUCACUACUCAUAGUCUGCCUUCUUCCCGUUCUCUCAGAUCUUCAUUCCCCCAACUCAGCUCACUUAACACUUAACAAAGCAAACCCCAGGCAUGACUCCUUUUCUCAGCUGCCCUUGGCAUU
RNAcentral lists this long non-coding RNA (663 nucleotides) under Homo sapiens (human). RNAcentral describes it as "HSALNT0295026". The record is from RNAcentral. Lineage: Eukaryota; Metazoa; Chordata; Mammalia; Primates; Hominidae.